Long non-coding RNA from Serinus canaria (Common canary), 247 nucleotides. RefSeq lists it as uncharacterized. The record is from RefSeq and is a predicted model, not a curated record. The transcript is spliced from 3 exons. Lineage: Eukaryota; Metazoa; Chordata; Aves; Passeriformes; Fringillidae.
CUCAUCUAAGCAAUGGAUUAGUUAUCUUGGGUCUACACAAAGGUUUACUAUUUUCUGCCAAGGAAAUAUGAGCUGUCAAGAAAGAGAAUCUGCUGCACAAAAAAGCAAUGAUGACAAGCUGCUUCUUGGAAAAUGUGGAAAGUCUUUAAGAACAUGGGAGAAAAGAACAGAAGCACUAGACAACAUCUGAUGUAUCCCAGUAUGAAAGACAUGCUAUCAAAUUAUCAGUAUCUGCAACAGAAUCCAG